AAUGUCGGCGAUGGAGAUCAACAGUUCAAGCUCAUGCCCUUCAACUCCUCGUUGGAACUCCGAGAGGCCGUUCCUCACCGGCCGCUUCCAUCAGGAAACCAAAACGACGUCGCGUUUCGCCGCCGAGACCCAAACUGAAGACGCCAUAGGGUGUCACAAUGCGGCUGUUCAGGAACUGGUGGUGAUCGACGACCUCUUGUCGGCCAUGGUCGGCAUCCAAGGCCGCUACAUUUCCAUCAGAAGACUCCGCGGGAAGGAAGAUGGUUUCAUCUUUCAAGUUGACGCCUCGAUGGAUUUGGCUCUUCAGGAACUGGCCCACCGGGUGUUCCCUCUUUGCGAGAGCUUCAUGCUCAUCAAUCAGUUUGUCGAGUCGAGAUCUCAGUUCAAGAAUGGCUUAGUUAAUCAUGCCUUUGCUGCUGCUCUCCGGGCUCUCCUCCUUGAUUACCAGGCUAUGGUGGCACAGCUUGAACACCAAUUUCGUCUCGGAAGACUGUCCUUACAAGGCUUGUGGUAUUAUUGUCAGCCAAUGAUGGGAUCUAUGAAAGCACUGUCCACUGUAAUACAGAAAGCUUCCGCAAAUAAUUUUGCCGGUUCUGCAGUUCUUAACCUUGUACAGAGUCAGGCUAAGGCCAUGGCUGGUGAUACUGCUGUAAGGUCAUUGCUAGAGAAGAUGGCUGAAUGUGCUAGCAAUGCGUACCUGGGUAUAUUAGAGAGGUGGGUCUAUGAAGGAGUCAUUGAUGAUCCUUACAGUGAAUUUUUCAUUGCUGAGAACAAAUCUCUUCAGAAGGAAAGCCUCACUCAAGAUUAUGAUGCCAAGUAUUGGAGGCAACGUUACAGCCUUAAGGAUGGAAUUCCAAGCUUUCUUGCAAAUAUUGCUGGGACAAUUUUGAUCACCGGAAAAUAUCUAAAUGUCAUGAGAGAAUGUGGGCACCAUGUUCAGGUCCCUGUAUCCGAAAAUUCGAAAUUGAUGAGCUUUGGAUCAAAUCAUCGUUAUAUUGAGUGUAUAAAAUCUGCUUAUGACUUUGCCAGCGGCGAGCUCUUAAAUCUUAUCAAAGAAAAGUAUGAUCUGAUGGGAAAGCUACGAUCUAUAAAGCACUAUCUUCUUCUUGAUCAGGGUGACUUUUUAGUUCAUUUUAUGGAUAUUGCUCGGGAUGAGCUUAUGAAAAAGCUCGAUGACAUUUCUGUAGAGAAACUGCAAUCCCUACUAGACCUUGCUUUGCGAACCACAGCAGCUGCAGCAGAUCCCUGCCAUGAGGACUUAACAUGUUGUGUGGAAACAUCUUCUUUGCUUAGAAGACUAGGGACACUUAAAGAUCGUGAAAAGACCAGGAAUGUCCUUGAUGAUAAUGAUCUAGAGGAACCAGUGAGCUUAACUGGACUCGAGACAUUUUCUUUGAAUUAUAAGGUUAGGUGGCCGUUGUCUAUAGUGAUCUGUAAGAAAGCCGUAACAAAGUAUCAGUUGAUUUUCCGCUUCCUUUUCCACUGUAAGCAUGUAGAACGCCAACUUUGUGGGGCUUGGCAAGUGCAUCAGGGAGUUCGUACCCUGAACGUGCGUGGUUCUGCUAUCGGCAGAUCAUCUCUCCUCUGCCGGAGCAUGCUUAAAUUUAUUAACAGCCUUCUACACUAUCUAACAUUUGAGGCAGGCCUUUUGCGUUUUCACUACUGAACUUCUUGCUUACAGGUUCUUGAACCCAUUUGGCAUGUGAUGCAUAAUAGGCUUCAGACUGCAAAGAGCAUAGAUGAGGUUAUCCAACACCAUGACUUCUUCCUUGACAAGUGCUUGAGAGGAUGUUUGCUGCUUUUGCCUGAAUUUCUGAAGAAGGUAGAGAGGCUGAAAUCACUUUGCCUACAAUAUGCUUCAGCAACUCAGUGGUUGAUAAGUUCUCUUCAGUCAGAAAAACCUAAGCCAUCCAAAUCACGGAGCCGAUGUCAGGCACUAUCAAUAAGCUCCAGCAACCCAAAUUUUACUGAUGCUAUUCUCAAAUUCGAGAGGGAGUUCAAUGCGGAGCUUCAGAGCCUAGCACCAAUACUGAGCAGCAGUUCCCAAGCCGAACCGUAUUUAACUCAUCUUGCACAAUGGAUUUUGGGCACUGGAAAUGAUCAAUAGAUUCUGGAAUCAGUUCCAUCACUGUUUUUCUUUCUUUUUUCUUGAACGAAAAUUACUUUGAUUCAAUGUGUGGGAUAGUCAGGUCUUAUAUUGGAUGCUUUUUUUGUGGGUU
RNA transcript from Fragaria vesca subsp. vesca, 2219 nucleotides. It is a transcript of the gene named gamma-tubulin complex component 2-like, with no coding region annotated. The transcript has 19 exons. The record is from RefSeq and is a predicted model, not a curated record. NCBI's taxonomy places the organism in Eukaryota, Viridiplantae, Streptophyta, Magnoliopsida, Rosales, Rosaceae.